CCCCUAGAUGUUCUGGGCCGCACGCGCGCUACACUGAACAGUUCAACAAGUCUUAACCUUGGCCGAUAGGUCUGGGUAAUCUUUGAACGCUGUUCGUGAUUGGGAUAGACCUUUGCAAUUAUGGGUCUUCAACGAGGAAUUCCUAGUAAACGCAAGUCAUCAGCUUGCAUUGAUUACGUCCCUGCCCUUUGUACACACCGCCCGUCGCACCUACCGAUUGAAUGGUCCGGUGAAAUCUCGGGACGGCGGCUUGGUCGCUUGCGUCCGACUGCUGAAACUUGAUUAAACUAUAUCAUUUAGAGGAAGGUGAAGUCGUANCA
RNAcentral lists this ribosomal RNA (320 nucleotides) under uncultured eukaryote. Its description in RNAcentral is "partial 18S ribosomal RNA". It matches the Rfam family "Eukaryotic small subunit ribosomal RNA", at positions 1470 to 1796 of the family's 1831-position model. The record is from RNAcentral.